GAUGAAGAACGCAGCGAAAUGCGAUACGUAAUGUGAAUUGCAGAAUUCAGUGAAUCAUCGAGUCUUUGAACGCACAUUGCGCCCCCUGGUAUUCCGGGGGGCAUGCCUGUCCGAGCGUCAUUACAACCCUCAAGCUCAGCUUGGUAUUGGGCCCCGCCGCUCCGGCGGGCCCUAAAGUCAGUGGCGGUGCCGUCCGGCUCCGAGCGUAGUAAUUCUUCUCGCUCUGGAGGUCCGGUCGUGUGCUCGCCAGCAACCCCCAAUUUUUUUCAGGUUGACCUCGGAUCAGGUAGGGAUACCCGCUGAACUUAAGCAUAUCAAUAAGCGGAGGA
RNAcentral lists this unclassified non-coding RNA (329 nucleotides) under soil metagenome. Its description in RNAcentral is "partial contains 5.8S ribosomal RNA, internal transcribed spacer 2, and large subunit ribosomal RNA". The stretch from base 1 to 120 matches the Rfam family "5.8S ribosomal RNA", at positions 35 to 154 of the family's 154-position model. The record is from RNAcentral.